RNAcentral lists this ribosomal RNA (494 nucleotides) under uncultured bacterium. Its description in RNAcentral is "partial 16S ribosomal RNA". It matches the Rfam family "Bacterial small subunit ribosomal RNA", at positions 28 to 507 of the family's 1533-position model. The record is from RNAcentral.
GACGAACGCUGGCGGCGUGCUUAACACAUGCAAGUCGAACGGUGAAGCGCCUUCCUUUUUGGUGGGUGUGGAUGAGUGGCGAACGGGUGAGUAACACGUGAGUAACCUGCCCCCUUCUUCUGGAUAACCGCAUGAAAGUGUGGCUAAUACGGGAUAUUCUGGGUCUGUCGCAUGAUGGGUCUGGGAAAGAUAUUGUUUCGGUGGGGGAUGGGCUCGCGGCCUAUCAGCUUGUUGGUGGGGUGAUGGCCUACCAAGGCGGUGACGGGUAGCCGGCCUGGGAGGGUGGACGGUCACACUGGGACUGAGGCACGGCCGAGACUGCUACGGGAGGCAGCAGUGGGGAAUAUUGCACAAUGGGCGCAAGCCUGAUGCAGCGACGCCGCGUGAGGGAUGGAGGCCUUCGGGUUGUGAACCUCUUUCGCCAGUGAAGCAGGCCUGCCUCGUUUGUGGGUGGGUUGACGGUAGCUGGAAAAGAAGCGCCGGCUAACUACGUG